Molecule: ribosomal RNA, 254 nt
Filed under: uncultured bacterium
Lineage: Bacteria
Description: partial 16S ribosomal RNA
Rfam family: Bacterial small subunit ribosomal RNA
Source: RNAcentral
UACGGGGGGGGCAAGCGUUGUUCGGAAUUACUGGGCGUAAAGGGCGCGUAGGCGGCGCGGUAAGUCACUUGUGAAAUCUCUGAGCUUAACUCAGAACGGCCAAGUGAUACUGCAGUGCUAGAGUGCAGAAAGGGCAAUCGGAAUUCUUGGUGUAGCGGUGAAAUGCGUAGAUAUCAAGAGGAACACCUGAGGCGAAGGCGGGUUGCUAGGCUGACACUGACGCUGAGUGCGCGAAAGCCAGGGGAGCAAACGGG